UACAGGGGGUGCAAACGUUGCUCGGAAUUAUUGGGCGUAAAGCGCGCGUAGGCGGUGACUCAAGUCGGAUGUGAAAGCCCUCGGCUUAACUGAGGAAGUGCAUCCGAAACUGGCAGGCUAGAGUACCAAAGAGGGUCGCGGAAUUCCCGGUGUAGAGGUGAAAUUCGUAGAUAUCGGGAGGAACACCCGUGGCGAAGGCGGCUCUCUGGGACGGUACUGACGCUGAGACGCGAAAGCGUGGGGAGCGAACAGG
Molecule: ribosomal RNA, 253 nt
Filed under: uncultured bacterium
Lineage: Bacteria
Description: partial 16S ribosomal RNA
Rfam family: Bacterial small subunit ribosomal RNA
Source: RNAcentral